RNAcentral lists this ribosomal RNA (253 nucleotides) under uncultured bacterium. Its description in RNAcentral is "partial 16S ribosomal RNA". It matches the Rfam family "Bacterial small subunit ribosomal RNA", at positions 524 to 776 of the family's 1533-position model. The record is from RNAcentral.
UACGUAGGGUGCGAGCGUUGUCCGGAAUUAUUGGGCGUAAAGAGCUCGUAGGCGGCCUGUCGCGUCGGCUGUGAAAGCCCGGGGCUUAACCCCGGGUCUGCAUUCGAUACGGGCAGGCUAGAGUUCGGUAGGGGAGAUCGGAAUUCCUGGUGUAGCGGUGAAAUGCGCAGAUAUCAGGAGGAACGCCGGCGGCGAAAGCGACUCUCUGGUCGGAAUCUGACGCUGAGGUGCGAAAGCGAGGGGAGCAAACGGG